CCUACGGGUGGCAGCAGUAGGGAAUAUUGGUCAAUGGACGAGAGUCUGAACCAACCAAGUAGCGUGAAGGAUGACUGCCCUAUGGGUUGUAAACUUCUUUUAUAUGGGAAUAAAAUGUUCCACGUGUGGGAUUUUGUAUGUACCAUAUGAAUAAGGAUCGGCUAACUCCGUGCCAGCAGCCGCGGUAAUACGGAGGAUCCGAGCGUUAUCCGGAUUUAUUGGGUUUAAAGGGAGCGUAGGUGGAUUGUUAAGUCAGUUGUGAAAGUUUGCGGCUCAACCGUAAAAUUGCAGUUGAAACUGGCAGUCUUGAGUACAGUAGAGGUGGGCGGAAUUCGUGGUGUAGCGGUGAAAUGCUUAGAUAUCACGAAGAACUCCGAUUGCGAAGGCAGUUCACUGGACUGCAACUGACACUGAGGCUCGAAAGUGUGGGUAUCAAACAGGAUUAGAUACCCUGGUAGUC
RNAcentral lists this ribosomal RNA (460 nucleotides) under uncultured bacterium. RNAcentral's name for it is "partial 16S ribosomal RNA". It matches the Rfam family "Bacterial small subunit ribosomal RNA", at positions 338 to 795 of the family's 1533-position model. The record is from RNAcentral.